UGAUGAAGGCCUUAGGGUUGUAAAGCUCUUUCAGCUGGGAAGAUAAUGACGGUACCAGCAGAAGAAGCCCCGGCUAACUCCGUGCCAGCAGCCGCGGUAAUACGGAGGGGGCUAGCGUUGUUCGGAAUUACUGGGCGUAAAGCGCACGUAGGCGGAUCGGAAAGUUGGGGGUGAAAUCCCGGGGCUCAACCCCGGAACURGCCUUCAAUACUACUGGURUUGAGUUCGAGAGAGGUGAGUGYAAUUCCGAGUGUAGAGAUGAAAUUCGUAGAUAUUCGGAAGAAACCCCCUGGCCAAAGGGGCUCCCUGGCUCCGUACCGGACCUUAAGUGCCAAAACGAGGAACACCAGUGGCGAAGGCGGCUCACUGGCU
Molecule: ribosomal RNA, 372 nt
Filed under: uncultured Paracoccus sp.
Lineage: Bacteria; Pseudomonadati; Pseudomonadota; Alphaproteobacteria; Rhodobacterales; Paracoccaceae
Description: bacterial SSU rRNA
Rfam family: Bacterial small subunit ribosomal RNA
Source: RNAcentral